CUUCUCUACAAUUUAGUUGAGUUUUUAUUCUCAUUACAAGUUAAGAUAAAUUAAAAACACAAAAUCUUUGUAUUCAUUCUUCAUGUUAUAACAAAAUUUCCAUCUUCUACAAAUUAUUAUUAUUAUUAUUAUUUUUUGGUGUUCUUGUGAUCUUUACUUCAUAUAAUUGUCUUAUUCUCCUUUCUUUUCAUAACAAAUUUGUAUCUAAAUUUUCCCGCUUUCAAUAAAGUGGUUUCAAAUCUGGUCUGCUCCAUAACAUUGACAGCUAAAUUUGAAUAAAUAAAUUUGUUCUCUCUUGAAUUUGAAAUGAGAAAAUUCUACUAUAAAUUGAGUACCAUAUUCUGGAGACAAUCCCACUACUGCUCAAAUACAUGAAUUUUCUGAGUGAUUCUUCAGAUUGUCUCAUUUUUUCUUCUUUCAAUUUAUUCGAAGCCAUAGAAGCUGACUGGGGAGAGAGUUUCUUGGCCUGAGAGAAAGAUCUGAUAUUGUUCUCAUCGUGUUGUUGGAUUAAUCUGAACGUGUAAUUCCAUCUAUAGAAACCCUGAUCUUUCAAUGCCUCCACAGCUCCCACACUGGCUGCCGCAAUCCAUGCUCUGAUUCUUGAACUCAUUAUGUUCAAGAAUUUGCUUGUUGAAUAUAAGCUUUUGAGUUGUAAAAGAGACUUGAGAAUUCUUUCUAUUUUGUUGAUUCCUUUUGUGGUGGAGAAGCAUAUAUAUAACUAUGCUGUAGCAAGUGAACACAAAACCAGAGGCUCUGUGUCCCGUGGUUUGAGUUUUCUUAUGUGCUGU
Molecule: long non-coding RNA, 788 nt
Filed under: Olea europaea subsp. europaea
Lineage: Eukaryota; Viridiplantae; Streptophyta; Magnoliopsida; Lamiales; Oleaceae
Source: RNAcentral